RNAcentral lists this long non-coding RNA (656 nucleotides) under Populus tremula. RNAcentral describes it as "long non-coding RNA (PTRE_LNC002786)". The record is from RNAcentral. Lineage: Eukaryota; Viridiplantae; Streptophyta; Magnoliopsida; Malpighiales; Salicaceae.
ACAAUUAUUGAAGCCUCCAAAAUACAAUUCUUUAAAAAAGCCAAAAAGUUGUACAUAUACACAUAAAUUACUGAAAAUUUUGCUAUCUGAAAGGAAGUCAAAGCGAAAUUAAACACUCCAUGUGCAGGCGUGAGCUGAUUCAGGAAACGAGCAAGAGAAGCCAUUACUCGGCGCCGUAUCCAGGGAAUGUGACGGAGAUGAGGAUUGAAGAGCUGAUCGACCGCCGUGCAGGUUCUCCUCAUUUUCUCAUAGCGCCGAACAGUAGCUCUUCCUUUAGCACAAAAAAGCAUGCAUCCAAUUCAGAAUGCUGAAAUCAGCUCUGCAUUUUCCCUGAAAACAAUUUUGUCCUUGUGUUCAUCAAUUAGAGGUUACCGCGGCAUCAAGCCCGAGUCGGAGAUCCAAUUCAUUGAACUUUUUCCUUGGUGUUAGGUUUGCCGGACGACAAGGAAAUCCUCCGAAAGUAAACAGCUACAAUCUCUUCUUUGAAUUCAAGUCAGCAAGAAGACAUUAAUCGGAGAGACUAAUACUGAUCUCACUCCUCAGGCACACCGGUGGUUCAGCCACUCUUGCAUAAAAUCAAUAAAAUAGCUAAAGUAUAAAAAAAAAAUGUGAAAGAGAUCGAAAUUAGCUGGCGGUGUGCUCAUUUUGAAAUCAGC